CAAAUGUAUGUUGACGUAUUCUGAAAGGGAUACGUUCUUCGGACAAUAUACAAGGUGCUGCAUGGUUGUCGUCAGCUCGUGCCGUGAGGUGUCGGGUUAAGUCCCAUAACGAGCGCCAACCCCUAUCAUUAGUUGCCAUCAGGUCAAGCUGGGGACUCUAAUGAAACUGCCUACGCAAGUAGUGAGGAAGGCGGGGAUGACGUCAAAUCAGCACGGCCCUUACGUCCAGGGCUACACACGUGCUACAAUGGCCGAUACAGAGGGCAGCUACCUGGUGACAGGAUGCAAAUCUCCAAAGUCGGUCUCAGUUCGGAUCGGAGUCUGCAACCCGACUCCGUGAAGUUGGAUUCGCUAGUAAUCGCGCAUCAGCCAUGGCGCGGUGAAUACGUUCCCGGGCCUU
Molecule: ribosomal RNA, 400 nt
Filed under: uncultured Sphingobacteriales bacterium
Lineage: Bacteria; Pseudomonadati; Bacteroidota; Sphingobacteriia; Sphingobacteriales
Description: bacterial SSU rRNA
Rfam family: Bacterial small subunit ribosomal RNA
Source: RNAcentral